This is a small nuclear RNA of Solanum dulcamara, 155 nucleotides long. RefSeq annotates it as U1 spliceosomal RNA. NCBI's taxonomy places the organism in Eukaryota, Viridiplantae, Streptophyta, Magnoliopsida, Solanales, Solanaceae. The transcript has a single exon. The record is from RefSeq and is a predicted model, not a curated record.
AUGCUUACCUGGACAGGGUCAGUGGACCAUCAAUAAAGGCCUAGGUUGGCGGCUUCCAUUGCACUUUGGAAGUGUGCCCACCUAAGGUCAGUUCAAGUGAUCAAACCUAUGUCAUAAUUUGUGAUUGUCCGGGCCUGCGUUCGUGCUGCCCCUGC